This is a long non-coding RNA of Numida meleagris (helmeted guineafowl), 979 nucleotides long. RefSeq lists it as uncharacterized. The record is from RefSeq and is a predicted model, not a curated record. The transcript is spliced from 3 exons. Lineage: Eukaryota; Metazoa; Chordata; Aves; Galliformes; Numididae.
UCCAGACUAAACAAUCCCAGUUUCCUCAGCUGCUCCUCAUAAGACUUGUGUUCCAGACCCCUCACUGGCUUUACUGCCUUUCACUGAACAUGCUCCAGGGCCUCAAUGUCUUUCUUGUGGUGACAGCUCCGAAAGUGAACACAGUACUCAAGGUACCUGAGAUAUUAAACUGGACAUGAUGCAACUUUUUCUGCAUGAAGGAAUUCACUUACACACCUCUGCUUCAUACGAACUUCCACGUCAGACACCAUUUUGCCACACUACUCCUCUGCUGCCAUCUGCCACACGGCAACAAAACGUAACAGAAUGUUGGCACCUCUACUGCCAUACCACCAACAUAAACCUCUGAUGUUGUGGGUCAACAUAAUAAAUAGGAGGUAUUACUUUCAGAAUAGCCUUUCUAUUUUGAAGCAGAGAUACAAAAGCUCAUGGUCAUGGUUUUCCAUAGGUAUUCCAUACCAUAACAUCAUGCAGUGAACUGUCAAGAGUUGAAAUGGCUGUCAGGAGCUACAGUUUCCAGCAGCUUUUGUUGUGCCCACAUGGUUUCUGGGAGGCAAGGAAUAAUACUGCUGUGAAAUGCAAGACUGGACAACUGAAUUGAAAUACUUUAAAACAUGUGCAUCAACACACGGAAAGUCCCGGCACACCAGAUUUGAAAAAUAUCAACAAAAAAUUCAGAUCAAAGAAAAACAAAGGAGGCCAGAAUGACACUUUAUAACAGUAUGGAAAUCAGUACUAUACUUGGCAGAUAUCAGCUCUACUGACAGAUUUUAUAUAAAUAACAAGAAUGUUUAUCACUGACAUCACCCUGUUUCUGCACCCUGCUUUGUUUGCUAUUAUGGCUACUUUUGACAUUUAGAACUGAAAUAACCGAUGAGGAUUUAUCCCAUGAAUGAUCCAAGCACAUAAUCUGAUUAAAAUACAGGAACUGUAAAUAUUUUCAUCUUUGCUCAUCCAUUUUCAAAGCAAUUUUGCUAGU